This 443-nucleotide ribosomal RNA is filed under the name uncultured bacterium. RNAcentral's name for it is "bacterial SSU rRNA". It matches the Rfam family "Bacterial small subunit ribosomal RNA", at positions 958 to 1399 of the family's 1533-position model. The record is from RNAcentral.
AACGCGAAGAACCUUACCAACUUUUGACAUGUCCCGUAUGGAUUUCAGAGAUGAGAUCCUUCAGUUCGGCUGGCGGGAACACAGGUGCUGCAUGGCUGUCGUCAGCUCGUGUCGUGAGAUGUUGGGUUAAGUCCCGCAACGAGCGCAACCCUCGCCCUUAGUUGCCAUCAUUUAGUUGGGCACUCUAAGGGGCUGCCGGUGAUAAGCCGGAGGAAGGUGGGGAUGACGUCAAGUCCUCAUGGCCCUUACAGGUUGGGCUACACACGUGCUACAAUGGCCGGUACAAACCGUCGCAAACCCGUGAGGGGGAGCUAAUCGGAAAAAGCCGGCCUCAGUUCGGAUCGCAGUCUGCAACUCGACUGCGUGAAGCUGGAAUCGCUAGUAAUCGCGGAUCAGAAUGCCGCGGUGAAUACGUUCCCGGGCCUUGUACACACCGACUGUAC